Molecule: unclassified non-coding RNA, 218 nt
Filed under: soil metagenome
Description: partial contains 5.8S ribosomal RNA, internal transcribed spacer 2, and large subunit ribosomal RNA
Source: RNAcentral
AACGAGGCCGACCUGCGGCUGAGUUACCUGCGGAGGGAUCAUUACAAGUGACCCCGGUUUACCACCGGGAUGUUCAUAACCCUUUGUUGUCCGACUCUGUUGCCUCCGGGGCGACCCUGCCUUCGGGCGGGGGCUCCGGGUGGACACUUCAAACUCUUGCGUAACUUUGCAGUCUGAGUAAACUUAAUUAAUAAAUUAAAACUUUUAACAACGGAUCU